This 1383-nucleotide long non-coding RNA is filed under the name Sus scrofa (pig). RNAcentral describes it as "lncRNA (ENSSSCG00040055814.1)". Lineage: Eukaryota; Metazoa; Chordata; Mammalia; Artiodactyla; Suidae. The record is from RNAcentral.
UGUGUCCAGACCAGGUGUGGUGUGACUUAUCCUAUGACUUGAGGAAUACUGGGAGUGAUGCCCCUCUGCAGAAACAUGAUGAGUCCCACAUCCCUCGGUGUGCAUUGGUUGUUGGUUUCAAGCCAUGCAAAGCUAGGUGAGUCACUACCAUCAGGGGAAACCAAACCAUGCCAGCUGCUAAGAAGUGAAAUCUUGGAUCUGACUUUGAGGUUCCUUUUCCAUAAGUCACUUGUUUAAGCUCCCACUUUCCAUGCAGAGAAUUGAGUUCAGACACUAAAAAUGCCCUCAUGAAGCUUUUUUUUAAUAGUGAAUUUAUAAUGUUAUGCCAAGUUCUGCUGUACAGCAAAGUGACUCAGUUAUAUAUUCCUCAAACUAUUUUCCAUAGUGUUCUAUCCCAAGAAAUUGGAUAUAGUUCUCUGUGUUAUACUGUAGGACUUAAUUGCUUUUUUAACUUCCAGGAAUACGUUUGUCUCUACUGAGCCAGCUCUCCUUGGAAAGUUCUGAAAUGUACUCUGUUUCUGCCCCCACCCCCCUCCGUAAUCCUCCCACUGCCCUUCCCUUCCCAUGAAAAUGUCGAAAUUUCCCUUAUUCACCAAGUGGCUUGUCUUGAUCCCAAACAACUUACUUGGCAGUUGGUUCAAUUGUAAUACAUUUGCUUAUCAAUGAUUUCAGGAGAGUUAAGUAUUGCAGACCUUCUCCGCUCAAACUGCUUCCCACACGCCAACCAGGGGCUCUUAGAGAACUCUUCUGGUUGCUAAUCUGAGGGGGAACCCAGCAGAUCGAAUUCACUUAGCUUCUCCAUUCAAUUCACCCUGUAAUAAACUGGGCUUUGCUAGUUUUGUGCCUGCUUUAUACAAUGGGGAUAAUGGAAAUAAAAUGAAUACUUCAGCACAAACGCAAUAAAGUAUUAGGAAGGCUAAUGAAGGAAUGAUUUGUUUUGAAUGUCAGUUGCUUAGAGGCAAGGAUUUUGUAACAAUCAAAUAAUAAAUGGUUACCAUAUUGGCAAUAUAAAUAUCCCCUUAUUGAUCUUAUACGGAAAUAAGUUUUCAGAUAGAAAAAAUGCCUGACACACUUCAGAAUAGAUUCUAGAGCAAGUAUCUAUGAUGAAUGAUCAAGUUCCUGUAUUGCUUGCAUUACAUUUUCAGAAGUACCUUGAUAUUUCGGUUUAUAACUUUUCUUACAUUACUUUGAUUUCUAGAUUCUAUAGGGUAAUAAAACUGAAGUGAAAGUUUCAUAAGUUAAAACAAUCAGAACUAGGUUAUGAUGCAAUAGUUCUCUUAAGCCUGUGCUAGACUUCCUUGGAGUGUUUAUUUAAAAGAGUGAAGAUCAAGCAGGACCUAGGAAUCAGCAUUCACACUAAAGAGCCAAUGUGUUCCUGUGCUU